AGCGAACGCUGGCGGCAGGCUUAACACAUGCAAGUCGAACGCCCCGCAAGGGGAGUGGCAGACGGGUGAGGAACACGUGGGAACGUACCCUUCGGUUCGGAAUAACUCAGGGAAACUUGUGCUAAUACCGGAUACGUCCGAAAGGAGAAAGAUUUAUCGCCGAAGGAUCGGCCCGCGUCUGAUUAGCUUGUUGGUGAGGUAACGGCUCACCAAGGCGACGAUCAGUAGCUGGUCUGAGAGGAUGAUCAGCCACACUGGGACUGAGACACGGCCCAGACUCCUACGGGAGGCAGCAGUGGGGAAUAUUGGACAAUGGGGGCAACCCUGAUCCAGCCAUGCCGCGUGAGUGAUGAAGGCCUUAGGGUUGUAAAGCUCUUUUGUCCGGGAAGAUAAUGACGGUACCGGAAGAAUAAGCCCCGGCUAACUUCGUGCCAGCAGCCGCGGUAAUACGAAGGGGGCUAGCGUUGCUCGGAAUCACUGGGCGUAAAGCGCACGUAGGCGGGCUUUUAAGUCGGAGGUGAAAUCCCAGGGCUCAACCCUGGAACUGCCUUCGAUACUGGAAGUCUUGAGUCCGGAAGAGGUGAGUGGAACUCCGAGUGUAGAGGUGAAAUUCGUAGAUAUUCGGAAGAACCACCCAGUGGCGAAAGGCGGCUCAC
Molecule: ribosomal RNA, 656 nt
Filed under: Pseudomonadota bacterium
Lineage: Bacteria; Pseudomonadati; Pseudomonadota
Description: bacterial SSU rRNA
Rfam family: Bacterial small subunit ribosomal RNA
Source: RNAcentral